CAGCCGUAAACGAUGCGCGUUAGGUGUAUCGACGACCACGAGUCGUCGAGGUGCCGAAGGGAAACCGUGAAACGUGCCGCCUGGGAAGUACGGUCGCAAGGCUGAAACUUAAAGGAAUUGGCGGGGGAGCACCACAACAGGUGGAGCCUGCGGUUUAAUUGGACUCAACGCCGGAAAUCUCACCGGAUAGGACAGACAUAUGAUAGUCGGGCUGAAGACUCUACUUGAUGAUCUGAGAGGAGGUGCAUGGCGUCAGUGACU
This 261-nucleotide ribosomal RNA is filed under the name uncultured archaeon. Its description in RNAcentral is "partial 16S ribosomal RNA". It matches the Rfam family "Archaeal small subunit ribosomal RNA", at positions 748 to 1008 of the family's 1478-position model. The record is from RNAcentral.